AGCGAACGCUGGCGGCAGGCCUAACACAUGCAAGUCGAACGGACCCUUCGGGGUUAGUGGCGGACGGGUGAGUAACACGUGGGAACGUGCCUUUAGGUUCGGAAUAGCUCCUGGAAACGGGUGGUAAUGCCGAAUGUGCCCUUCGGGGGAAAGAUUUAUCGCCUUUAGAGCGGCCCGCGUCUGAUUAGCUAGUUGGUGAGGUAGCGGCUCACCAAGGCGACGAUCAGUAGCUGGUCUGAGAGGAUGACCAGCCACACUGGGACUGAGACACGGCCCAGACUCCUACGGGAGGCAGCAGUGGGGAAUCUUGCGCAAUGGGCGAAAGCCUGACGCAGCCAUGCCGCGUGAAUGAUGAAGGUCUUAGGAUUGUAAAAUUCUUUCACCGGGGACGAUAAUGACGGUACCCGGAGAAGAAGCUCCGGCUAACUUCGUGCCAGCCGCCGCCGUAA
RNAcentral lists this ribosomal RNA (449 nucleotides) under uncultured bacterium. Its description in RNAcentral is "partial 16S ribosomal RNA". It matches the Rfam family "Bacterial small subunit ribosomal RNA", at positions 29 to 523 of the family's 1533-position model. The record is from RNAcentral.